AGGGAAUCUUCCACAAUGGACGCAAGUCUGAUGGAGCAACGCCGCGUGAGUGAAGAAGGCUUUCGGGUCGUAAAACUCUGUUAUUGAAGAAGAACGUGCGUGACAGUAACUGGUCAUGCAGUGACGGUAUUCAAUCAGAAAGUCACGGCUAACUACGUGCCAGCAGCCGCGGUAAUACGUAGGUGGCAAGCGUUGUCCGGAUUUAUUGGGCGUAAAGCGAGUGCAGGCGGUCUUUUAAGUCUGAUGUGAAAGCCUUCGGCUUAACCGAAGAAGGGCAUCGGAAACUGGGAGACUUGAGUGCAGAAGAGGAGAGUGGAACUCCAUGUGUAGCGGUGAAAUGCGUAGAUAUAUGGAAGAACACCAGUGGCGAAGGCGGCUCUCUGGUCUGUAACUGACGCUGAGGCUCGAAAGCGUGGGUAGCAAACAGGAUUA
RNAcentral lists this ribosomal RNA (432 nucleotides) under uncultured bacterium. Its description in RNAcentral is "partial 16S ribosomal RNA". It matches the Rfam family "Bacterial small subunit ribosomal RNA", at positions 356 to 780 of the family's 1533-position model. The record is from RNAcentral.